Molecule: ribosomal RNA, 900 nt
Filed under: uncultured archaeon
Lineage: Archaea
Description: bacterial SSU rRNA
Rfam family: Archaeal small subunit ribosomal RNA
Source: RNAcentral
GCCAGACCUGACUGCUAUCGGAUUGAUACUAAGCCAUGCGAGUCGUUGUAGCAAUACAAGGCAUACGGCUCAGUAACGCGUAGUCAACCUAACCUAUGGACGGGAAUAACCUCGGGAAACUGAGAAUAAUGCCCGAUAGAACAUUAUGCCUGGAAUGGUUUAUGUUCCAAAUGAUUUAUCGCCAUAGGAUGGGACUGCGGCCUAUCAGUUUGUUGGUGAGGUAAUGGCCCACCAAGACUAUUACAGGUACGGGCUCUGAGAGGAGUAGCCCGGAGAUGGGUACUGAGACACGGACCCAGGCCCUAUGGGGCGCAGCAGGCGAGAAAACUUUGCAAUGUGCGAAAGCACGACAAGGUUAAUCCGAGUGAUUUCUGCUAAAGAGAUCUUUUGUUAGUCCUAGAAACACUAACGAAUAAGGGGUGGGCAAGUUCUGGUGUCAGCCGCCGCGGUAAAACCAGCACCUCAAGUGGUCAGGAUGAUUAUUGGGCCUAAAGCAUCCGUAGCCGGCUCUGUAAGUUUUCGGUUAAAUCUGUACGCUCAACGUACAGGCUGCCGGAAAUACUGCAGAACUAGGGAGUGGGAGAGGUAGACGGUACUCGGUAGGAAGUGGUAAAAUGCUUUGAUCUAUCGAUGACCACCUGUGGCGAAGGCGGUCUACCAGAACACGUCCGACGGUGAGGGAUGAAAGCUGGGGGAGCAAACCGGAUUAGAUACCCGGGUAGUCCCAGCUGUAAACUAUGCAAACUCAGUGAUGCAUUGGCUUGUGGCCAAUGCAGUGCUGCAGGGAAGCCGUUAAGUUUGCCGCCUGGGAAGUACGUACGCAAGUAUGAAACUUAAAGGAAUUGGCGGGGGAGCACCACAAGGGGUGAAGCCUGCGGUUCAAUUGGAUUCAACGCCGGA